GUGAGCAGCCACAGUAGUGGACAUGCCCCUACUCGCAGUAUAGCGAGUAGGGGCAUUGGGGAGAUUUUAAUCUCCCUUGUGCUAUUGUGGGGGUCAUAUUGACCCCCAUAGCGUGAGGGAGGACAGGGGGGCUUAUGAAGUGGUGGGGAGCACUGCUCCCUGCCGCUUCUAUAGUUACAUAUUACAAGGAGGGAGCUGCGUGCCGGUAACUCCCUCCUUGUAAUAAACUGAUCAAACAAACGAACACUGAUACUCAGAUACACUGAUACAGUGUUUGUUU
Pelobates cultripes (western spadefoot toad) is the source of this 280-nucleotide non-coding RNA. Lineage: Eukaryota; Metazoa; Chordata; Amphibia; Anura; Pelobatidae. The record is from the annotation of a GenBank genome assembly.